This 424-nucleotide long non-coding RNA is filed under the name Rattus norvegicus (Norway rat). RNAcentral's name for it is "long non-coding RNA NONRATT021531". The record is from RNAcentral. Lineage: Eukaryota; Metazoa; Chordata; Mammalia; Rodentia; Muridae.
GUGGCAGCGAUGGCAAUGGGCCGGGCAGGGACCAUGGAAGUGGUGGCAGAGGUGGCAGGAGUGGGGCAGCUGGCGGUGGAGAAGGCUGUGGUCUUCAGGGGUCUGUAGGUGGAGGCAUGGCUCGGGCCAGCAGCAGGAACAGCAGCGAAGAGGCCUGGGGGGCACUUCAGGCUCCGCAACAGCAGCAGAGUCCGGCAGCAUCUUCUCUUGAGGGAGCAAUUUGGAGACGAGCUGGAACCCAGACUCGCGCCCUGGAUGCCAUCCUUUAUCAUCCACAGCAAUCCCAUCUGGUUGGGAGCACUGCUCUGGCUUCGAGAGCUGUGCCCAGGAGUGAAUACCCAGCCCUACCUCUGUGAGAGUGGCCAUUGCUGUGGGGAGACUGGCUGCUGCACCUACUACUAUGAACUCUGGUGGUUCUGGCUGC